RNAcentral lists this ribosomal RNA (380 nucleotides) under uncultured bacterium. RNAcentral describes it as "bacterial SSU rRNA". It matches the Rfam family "Bacterial small subunit ribosomal RNA", at positions 30 to 410 of the family's 1533-position model. The record is from RNAcentral.
AUUGAACGCUGGCGGCAUGCCUUACACAUGCAAGUCGAACGGUAACGGGCCUUCGGGUGCCGACGAGUGGCGAACGGGUGAGUAAUGCAUCGGAACGUACCUUUCAGUGGGGGAUAACGUAGCGAAAGUUACGCUAAUACCGCAUAUUCUGUGAGCAGGAAAGCAGGGAUCGCAAGACCUUGCGCUGAUUGAGCGGCCGAUGUCAGAUUAGCUAGUUGGUGAGGUAAAGGCUCACCAAGGCGACGAUCUGUAGCGGGUCUGAGAGGAUGAUCCGCCACACUGGAACUGAGACACGGUCCAGACUCCUACGGAGGCAGCAGUGGGGAAUUUUGGUACAAUGGGGCGGAACCCUACGAUCCAGCCAUGCCGCGUGAGUGAAG